UACGUAGGGUGCGAGCGUUAAUCGGAAUUACUGGGCGUAAAGCGUGCGUAGACGGUUAUGUAAGUCAGAUGUGAAAGCCCCGGGCUCAACCUGGGAAUUGCAUUUGAGACUGCAUAGCUAGGGUGCGGAAGAGGGAAGCGGAAUUUCCGGUGUAGCGGUGAAAUGCGUAGAGUAUCGGAAGGAACACCAGUGGCGAAAAGCGGCUUCCUGGUCCAGCACCGACGUCAGGCACGAAAGCGUGGGGAGCAAACAGG
RNAcentral lists this ribosomal RNA (254 nucleotides) under uncultured bacterium. RNAcentral describes it as "partial 16S ribosomal RNA". It matches the Rfam family "Bacterial small subunit ribosomal RNA", at positions 524 to 776 of the family's 1533-position model. The record is from RNAcentral.